GUGGGGAAUCUUCCGCAAUGGACGAAAGUCUGACGGAGCAACGCCGCGUGAGUGAAGAAGGUUUUCGGAUCGUAAAGCUCUUUCGUUAGGGACGAACGUGCUCUUUGUGAAUAAUGAGGAGUAAUGACGGUACCUAAAUAAGAAGCCACGGCUAACUACGUGCCAGCAGCCGCGGUAAUACCUAGGUGGCAAGCGUUGUCCGGAAUUAUUGGGCGUAAAGCGCGCGCAGGCGGGAUAUCAAGUCUGUCUUAAAAGUGCGAGGCUCAACCUCGUGAGGGGACAGAAACUGGUAUUCUUGAGUGUCGGAGAGGAAAGUGGAAUUCCAAGUGUAGCGGUGAAAUGCGUAGAGAUUUGGAAGAACACCAGUGGCGAAGGCGACUUUCUGGACGAUGUCUGACGCUGAGGCGCGAAAGCUAGGGGAGCGAACGGGAUUAGAUACCCGGGUAGUCC
RNAcentral lists this ribosomal RNA (450 nucleotides) under uncultured bacterium. RNAcentral describes it as "partial 16S ribosomal RNA". It matches the Rfam family "Bacterial small subunit ribosomal RNA", at positions 354 to 796 of the family's 1533-position model. The record is from RNAcentral.